GCCUCUACGUUUGUUUCAUUCAUCCGAGCCUCUCUCUCUCUCCCUCUUCUCCCACCGAGCCUCUCUUCCUUUUCCUCCACUGCCAGCUGGUCCUCUCUCUUCACACCCUCUCUCUCUCUCUCUCUCUCUCUCUCUCUCUCUCUCUCUCACCCCCUGUCUCUCUCUUUCCCCCUCUGUCACGCCCCGGGACCCAGCGGAAGCCCGCCCGGCACGUGCCCAGACCCGCCAUACGUCUAAAACAUAUAAGGCGUCUAAAAACA
RNAcentral lists this long non-coding RNA (260 nucleotides) under Ananas comosus (pineapple). RNAcentral describes it as "long non-coding RNA (ACOM_LNC002191)". The record is from RNAcentral. Lineage: Eukaryota; Viridiplantae; Streptophyta; Magnoliopsida; Poales; Bromeliaceae.